GGGGUGAACCACGAUACAUCUUGUGUUAUUUACAUUACUUGCAUAUUCAUGGUCGGAUUUACGUUGUACCAAGACCUCCGGUUUUGUGCAUCAACAAUAUUAUAUAUUUAACCCUAUUCUUAGUAUAUUUUGGUUAAUAUUUUGGAAGAAUUUUGAUACUUUGAAUUGUAUUUCCAAUAUAGGACUUUCAACUUUCUUUGGAGCAAAACAUGGUCAAAUGGAGGAAUUUUGGAGUAAUUCCAGUUGAAGGACGUUCAUGAGUCAGUUAGCUUGAUUGUAUCAAAAUAUCAGAUUUUUCCACCAAGUGGUUAUUUUCUAGAAAUAAAAUAAAGGAGGAUUGCGCGGUGCUGGAAUAGUGAAGUUUUGGGUUUGAAUUGCAUUUUUGGAGCCCAAGAUGACCUCAACUGGGUUCGUGGCCUUCUGGAGAUGGGUUCAGAAUGUCCUAAUCUUUAAAACAAGCUAUUAUGGGCUGGAUUUGGAGGAUAUCUGAGGCUAAAACAUGGCUGGACAAGUGCUUGGCAGAUUCUCCUAGUUUUAUUAGGAUUUUAUUUUCUAAGAUAUUUUAUUAUUAUUUAGUUUCCUAGUUGGAGUAAGAGACCUAUGUUUUAGGGUUUGUGCGAUGGCUUAGCAAAUAUAUUGCUUUGCCGUUCUUAGUUUUUUCUACGCUUUCUUUUAUGCAACUUUGUGUUGGAAAUUUUGAGUAGAAUUUCAUUGUCCCACAUUGCUCACCACCACAAGGUUUCCUCACUUUAUAAGGUUUUAUCCCUUAUAGAAAGUGAUUGGAGCAAUGGACCUUGGAGACUAAAAUUGGGCUCACCUUUGAGGUUGGGCUUUGGGGUGUAAUAAUUAAUUGAUAAUUAAUUAAUAAUUAAUAUAUAAUUAAUUAUCAAAAGAUAGCCUUGGGGCUCUUGGGCUCUGAAAAUUAAAUUCUUUAAUAAAUUAUUUUUAAUUAAUUUCGAAUUUAUUUAAUUAUUUUUUAUGAAAAGACUCAUCUUUUCAAAUGAAGUCUGAGAGCGUAUUUGAGAAACAGAUGGAGCAACACACCCUUUACAUUGAACAGUCGCUUCCCAAAAACAUGUCUGUUACGAACAGACAUAUGCUCACUAUAAAUACAUACAUCUACAUAUCAUUUAAAUCACUGAAAAUCAUCAAACCUCAUAUACCAAGCAUACUGAGAGCACCACAAACAAAUUCGCCAGAAGUCUAGUUUUCCGGUGCUGGAAUUUUAACUUAGAUCGUUGAAUCCUGGUGAAGUAGACGUCCGUAGAAUUACAAGCACUGAGUAGGGACGAAAUUUCUAUUUCAAGGACAUUGCGGUACGCAAGCCUCGAUCUUCAAGUUGUUUGUUUUAUAUUUUUGUUUUGUUCAUACUCUGCUAAUUUUUAUAUUCACAUUUAUUGUUUAUUAGCAUAUAUAAUUAAAUCACAAAUUGUUGACUUAUAUCCAACACUUUGGAGAUAAAGAGAAUUGCUAGGGUUCUUGGAGAUUUUCUACUUUAAGGUGUUUUCAAUCAUUUUCUUAAUAAUAUUUUCUAUGAUUUUAAUUAUGAAUAUGCAUAACUAAUUCUUUUUGUUAGGGCGAAGCCUUAAGCCUUAGCAUGAAUAUGUAAUUUUUAUUUAAUUGCUUAUGAUCGAUUGCAUGCAUACUUUGAAUUAUUGAUUACUGUGAUUAAAACUAUCUCAUUGUUUUAAUGCCUGAUCACCAUUAGAAUAUUUAGAAAAGUAAUUUGAUGCAAUUUUGGUCGGAAGGUUCCCUGAAAUUGAAGCUGGCUUCUUGUGAUUAAUAAUUAUAAUUUCACUUAGGAUGAACACCAUGUCUUAAGGGUUGCAUGAUUUUUCAAAGGGUUUUCAUAAAGCAUAAUGAGUCUUUCAUGUUCAGAUUUGAUCCGAACGUCCUGACGAGUUGCAUGUUAGAUAUACAUUCUAUGUUGGAGGUUCCAAAUAGAAUAUAAAUUAGGAAAAUCUAACCUUCAAAGUAGCAUGUGUAGAUCAUAAGUAAUUGAUAAAAAUACAUAGGAUUGCUAGGUGAUGGUGGAGCCCUAAUCUUUUAUAAAUUGGUAUUUAAAACUCUUUUCUUUUAUCAUAUUUGUUUAAUUAAAAUUCGUUUUUAAUAUUACUCAAGUCUAAAAUCUCUUGUAUCAAUUUUUAAUUCUAAGUAUUUGAUUAGGAAUUGUUUCUACGUAAAUUAUCCAAAUAGUUAUUGAGAAGAGCGACCUUGCAUGAGCAUCUAUACUAAAACAUCCUUGUAUUCUUGCAAGUAUUUCAAGUGAUUUUGACCCUAUUUGCAUAGACGUUAAAAAUCCUAUCAAGUACCUUUGAGAAAAUCGGGUUCAAUAGAUUGCAUGUCCAUUGUUUUCGUGUGCCUUCUAGGAAGACUCUUGUUAGAACUUUCCUUAUAAUGUAUGCCCAAUCUAAAGAUAGUUUGAAAAAGGAAUUGCAUGCACACUGAAUUUCUCUUACCACCAACACUUGGACAAGCACUUAAAACAUCAAUUAUAUGGUCCUCACCGCACACUUUAUUGAUGAUGAAUGGAAUAUGCAUAAGAUGAUCAUUAAUUUUGGUCUUAUUGCUAACCAGUCGGGAGCCACAAUAGCUAAGUUAAUUGAAACUUGUUUGUUGGAAUGAGACAUAAAUAAAGUACUCACCAUCACGGUGGACAAUGUUUCCGCAAAUAAAGUUGUAUUGGAUCAACUUAGGUCAACGAUGAAUAGGUGGGAAAAUUCACAAGCUAUUUUGCAUGGGGAGUAUUUACAUGUGAGGUGCACUGCUCACAUAACCAAUUUAAUUGUAGGUCAAUGGAUGAAGAGGCUAACCAAUGACCUCUUAGCCAUAAGAAAUUCUGUGAGAUUUGUGAGGAGCUCUCCACAAAUGUUAGAGUAUUUCAAGCAAGUCGUGCUUAUGGAGAAGUUAACAUGCAAAACAAGUGUUUGCUUAGACUACCCCACAAGGUGGAAUUCCACAUUUCAUAUGUUGAAAGUAGCCAUAAAGUUUAAGAAGGCCUUUGCUAGGAUGGGAGAAGAAAGUGAUACUCCUUUUAGCGUGGUCCAACCCUUCUUUGACCUUUAAUAACAACUAUUCCUCCCCCAUCCUAGCAAAGGCCUUCUUAAACUUUAUGGUUACUUCCAACAUAUGAAAUGUGGAAUUCCAUCUUGUGGGGCAAUCCAAGCAAACACUUACUUUGCAUGUUAACUUCUCCAUAAGCACGGCUUACUUGAAAUACUCUAACCUUUGUGGAGAGCUCCUCACAAAUCUCACAGAAUUUCUUAUGGCUAAGAGGCCAUUGGUUAGUCUUUUCAUCCCUUAACCCACAAUUAAAUUGGUUAUGUGUGAGCGGUACACCUCACAUGUAAAUAUUGCCCAUGCAAAAUGGCUUAUGAAUUUUCCCACCUAUUCAUCGUUAACCUAAGUUGAUCCAAUGCAACUUUAUUUGCAGAAACAUUGUCCACCGUGAUGGUGAGUACUUUAUUUAUGCCCUAUUCCAACAAACAAGUUUCAAUCAACUUAGCUAUUGUGGCUCCCGACUGGUUAGCAAUAAGACCAAAAUUAAUGAUCCUCUUAUGCAUAUUCCAUUCAUCAUCAAUAAAGUGUGCAGUGAGGACCAUAUAAUUGAUGUUUUGAGUGCUUAUCCAAGUGUCAGUGGUAAGAGAAAUUCGGUGUGCAUGCAAUUUCUUUUUCAAACUAUCCUUAGAUGGGCAUACAUCCUAGGGAAAGUUCUAACAAUAGUCCUCCUAGAAGGCACACGAAACAAUGGACAUGCAACACUGCAAAAUCUAUUGAACCCGAUCUUCUCAACGGUACUAAAGGGUGCCUCAUCAAGAACAAUCAUCUCUACACAUGCUUCCAAACAAUCAGAUUGGUUAAACUCCCUAUUAACCAAAGUUUUACCCCCUUUCUUAUCCUCAUAAAGAAGUUUUUUAUUUUUCCCCAAGUUGGCUUGAUAAAAUUUAUAUUGUCGAUUAAGAUGUUUUCUCGUUCCGGAUGUACCAUUAAUGCUUGAAUCGGCUGCAUAGUCACCAUCAUUUGUAUGUUCCAUGCAAUACACACAUUUAGCUUUAAGUCUUACAUGUGGAACCAUUACCAGUUUAUCAUUUCCAUCUUUUACAACAUUCCCUUCUCGAUCCCUGAGGCUUACUAUGGUCUUAACUUGAUAAGGCCUAAAGUGCUCUCAAACCUUACUACGUUUACCUUAUAGGAGUUGGAAGACACUUACCUCCUUUUGAUCUCCUUCACUUUCAGUCUCACUUUUGCUUCCCCCCGAUUCAUAUUCCAAAUCAAUUGCAUCCUCUACAGAAUCUACAUGGUUCAAAGCCUGCAUCCAAUCAAUACAAAAAUAUCAAUUGCAAUUACAAGUCAAUCUAGCAUACACAAUAACAUUCACAGAAGCACUGAAUCUGUUGCACAGAUUAUCCUAUAUUCACACAACCUGAUUAAAGUGUACAUAGACUACUUCUCCUAUAUUCACACAACUUGAUUAAAACAUUCAAACAGAUUAUCUAUUAAUAUUGUGCAGAUUAGGCAUACUACUUCUCAUAUAUUCACACAACCUUAUUAAAACAUUCAAACAUAUUAUCCAUUAAAAUUUUGCAUAUUUAGAAAAGAAUAGGAAAAUGAGG
Molecule: long non-coding RNA, 4613 nt
Filed under: Malus domestica (apple)
Lineage: Eukaryota; Viridiplantae; Streptophyta; Magnoliopsida; Rosales; Rosaceae
Description: long non-coding RNA (MDOM_LNC017370)
Source: RNAcentral